AUUGAACGCUGGCGGCAGGCCUAACACAUGCAAGUCGAGCGGAUGAAGGGAGCUUGCUCCUGGAUUCAGCGGCGGACGGGUGAGUAAUGCCUAGGAAUCUGCCUGGUAGUGGGGGAUAACGUCCGGAAACGGGCGCUAAUACCGCAUACGUCCUGAGGGAGAAAGUGGGGGAUCUUCGGACCUCACGCUAUCAGAUGAGCCUAGGUCGGAUUAGCUAGUUGGUGGGGUAAAGGCCUACCAAGGCGACGAUCCGUAACUGGUCUGAGAGGAUGAUCAGUCAACCGGGACAGGAACAAGGGCCCAAAACCAAACGGGAGGCAGAGGGGGGAAUAUUGGACAAAGGGGCAAAGCCGUGUCCAAGCAUGUCGGGUGUGGUGAAAAGGGCUUUUGGUUGGAAAAGCAUUUUAAGUUGGGGGAAGGGGAGGUAAGUUAAACCCUGGCUUUUUGACGGUAACCAAAAAAAAAAGCACGGCUAAAUUGGGG
RNAcentral lists this ribosomal RNA (483 nucleotides) under uncultured bacterium. Its description in RNAcentral is "partial 16S ribosomal RNA". It matches the Rfam family "Bacterial small subunit ribosomal RNA", at positions 29 to 507 of the family's 1533-position model. The record is from RNAcentral.